AUGGCUAUGAUGAGUGCCGCUUCCUCUCUCUGCCUCCCGCCUCUCUUCCUCCUCCUCCUCCUCCCCCUACUCCUCGCUAUCACCAGCGAGGCCGCCACGCUACGAAUCACCAACCAAUGCCCCUACACCGUGUGGCCAGCCGUAGUGCCGGGAGGUGGCCAGCAGCUCGAUCCAGGGGAGGCGUGGGUGUUGAACGUCCCCGCUGGCAACACAUCCGGGCGCAUCUGGGCACGGACGGGCUGCACGGUCCAUGGCGAAGGCAACGUGUCGUGCCAAACUGGUGACUGCGGCGGCUUGCUCGCCUGCACAGGCUAUGGUCAGCCGCCCAACACUCUCGGUGAGUUUACCUUUGGUGGCUUCAACGGCAUGGAUUUCUUCGACAUCUCCGUCAUGGACGGCUUCAACGUGCCCAUGGACUUCCUGCCGGUGCCGAUUCAGGGCAGGGCAGGGUGCGUCAAGGGGCCACGCUGUUCAGCCGACAUCACAUCACAGUGCCCAACAGAGCUCAAGGCUCUAGGGGGUUGUAACAAUGCAUGCAGGGUGUUCAAGCAGGACAAAUACUGCUGUACCGGGAGCGCUGCAGACAAUUGCAGCACCACCAACUACUCGGUCUUCUUUAAGAAGAUGUGCCCAGAUGCCUACAGCUACCCCAAGGAUGAUCCCAACAGCACUUUCAGUUGCCCGACGGGCACCGACUACCAGGUCGUCUUUUGUCCCCUGAUCAAUCAAGCAAUAUCACCUUCAGCUGAAAAUCCCGUGGCUCUGCCUGCGCCUAUUGGGCCAACAAGCAUGAAACCAAAAUCCUCCACUGUGAGAAGAAUUGUGACAAUUCUAGCUCCCGUAGGCAGCUUCAUUUUGCUUACCAUCGUGUUCCUCGCCGCCUACUUUAUACGUAAAUGGAGAAUACAUAGACAGCUUGAGAUGGAGGAGGAGGAAGAGUUUGGGGAGCUACAAGCAACACCAAUCAGUUUCACAUUUCAACAGCUAAAAGCAGCAACCGAGCAAUUCGGAAACAAGCUCGGGGAAGGAGGAUUUGGGUCUGUUUUCAAGGGACAAUUUGGUGAUGAAAUGAUUGCAGUAAAAUGUUUGGAUCGAGCUGGUCAGGGCAAAAGAGAAUUUUCUGCAGAGGUUCAGACAAUUGGCAGGAUUCAUCAUAUUAAUCUUGUGAGAUUGACUGGUUUCUGUGCAGAGAAGUCCCAUAGGCUCUUGGUGUAUGAGUAUAUGCCCAAAGGAUCCUUGGAUAGAUGGAUCUAUGGUCGACAUGACAAUUAUGCUCCUCCUCUGGAUUGGUGCAGCCGGUGCAAAAUUUUAACUCACAUAGCUAAGGGUCUCUCUUAUCUUCACGAGGAGUGCACAAAACGAAUUGCUCACUUGGAUGUCAAACCACAAAACAUCCUCUUAGAUGAUGAAUUCAAUGCUAAACUUUCUGGUUUUGGACUAUGCAAGCUCAUUGAUAGGGAUAUGAGCCAGGUGGUUACUAGAAUGAGAGGCACACCUGGAUACUUAGCUCCUGAAUGGUUAACGUCACAAAUCACAGAGAAGGCCGAUGUCUACAGCUUUGGUGUUGUGGUCAUGGAAGUCAUCAGCGGAAGAAAGAACCUUGACACUUCCCGGUCAGAAGAGAGCAUCCAUCUUAUUACUCUAUUGGAGGAAAAGGUGAAGAACGACCACUUGGUAGAUUUGAUUGACAGGAAUAGCAACGACAUGCAAGCACAUAAGCAGGAUGCAAUUCAGAUGAUGAAGCUCGCGAUGUGGUGUUUGCAGGUUGAUUGCAAAAGAAGGCCUAAAAUGUCUGAGGUAGUCAAGGUCUUGGAAGGUAGCAUGAAUGCAGACAACAAUAUUGAUCAUAGCUUUGUUGUUGCUACAAAUGUGAUCUCCUCGGUUCCACCUCUAGCUUCACAUGUAUCAGGGCCCAAGUGA
RNAcentral lists this ribosomal RNA (1920 nucleotides) under Triticum aestivum (bread wheat). RNAcentral's name for it is "partial small subunit ribosomal RNA". Lineage: Eukaryota; Viridiplantae; Streptophyta; Magnoliopsida; Poales; Poaceae. The record is from RNAcentral.